This 245-nucleotide unclassified non-coding RNA is filed under the name uncultured bacterium. RNAcentral's name for it is "partial may contain 16S ribosomal RNA, 16S-23S ribosomal RNA intergenic spacer, and 23S ribosomal RNA". The record is from RNAcentral.
GGGGAACCUGCGGCUGGAUCACCUCCUUUCUGGAGUCGCCGAGUAAGCGCACGACUUGUCGUGCGUCGAAAAGCACUCGAGAGUCGCCCGCACUUUCCACACUCGAUCAUUGAUUCGCUGUUGGAACAGGCGAUUUUUUUUUGUCUGCAAAAAGCUCUUUGACAACUGACGAGUGUGUGUGUGAAGUGGUGUUAAGGGAAUCACACCGAGUAGAGAACUACGAGAUCAAGCGUGUAAGGGCGCAC